UGCAGAGCUAGGGAGUGGGAGAGGUAGACGGUACUCGGGAGGAAGUGGUAAAAUGCUUUGAUCUCUCGAUGACCACCUGUGGCGAAGGCGGUCUACCAGAACACGUCCGACGGUGAGGGAUGAAAGCUGGGGGAGCAAACCGGAUUAGAUACCCGGGUAGUCCCAGCUGUAAACUAUGCAAACUCAGUGAUGCAUUGGCUUGUGGCCAAUGCAGUGUUGCAGGGAAGCCGUUAAGUUUGCCGCCUGGGAAGUACGUACGCAAGUAUGAAACUUAAAGGAAUUGGCGGGGGAGCACCACAAGGGGUGAAGCCUGCGGUUCAAUUGGAGUCAACGCCAGAAAUCUUACCCGGAGAGACAGCAGAAUGAAGGUCAAGCUGAAGACUUUACCAGACAAGCUGAGAGGUGGUGCAUGGCCGCCGCCAGCUCGUGCCGUGAG
This 436-nucleotide ribosomal RNA is filed under the name uncultured archaeon. RNAcentral's name for it is "bacterial SSU rRNA". It matches the Rfam family "Archaeal small subunit ribosomal RNA", at positions 585 to 1020 of the family's 1478-position model. The record is from RNAcentral.